This 4022-nucleotide long non-coding RNA is filed under the name Sus scrofa (pig). RNAcentral's name for it is "lncRNA (ENSSSCG00000054682.1)". The record is from RNAcentral. Lineage: Eukaryota; Metazoa; Chordata; Mammalia; Artiodactyla; Suidae.
AUCCCAGAAAUAAUUUAAUCUUUAAAUUUCCCAUGGCCAGAAGUACCUGAGCCAUUGUCCUGUUAUGUUUUAUAGACCCAGUGUGUUGGCAUUUUAAAAAUAUGUAUGUUCCUUAAAUAAUUUUAUUAUGAUUAGUAGGACCAUCUAGAAGUUUAUUCUCCUAGAAGAUGAGGAUUUGCUCUAUAAUUAUCUCUUCUCUUUAGAAACUUAGCUAAUCCAUCUUUUUGGAACAUAGAGUUUUAACCCUUCUUUUGCUUUGUAAUUGCAUGUACCAAAAGUGCUGAUUAACCAUUGGAUCCUCUUCCUUACAGUUAUUAUGUAUGACCAUUGGUGUUCCUCAGUACUCCUGCUUUUCCUGGGAUUACUUAUCUACUCAUUGUUCUCUUUCUAUGUUUACUGUGGUAUCUGAAUAGAAGUAAUAUAUCUGUAACUUAUAAUUAGAUAUGUCAUUAGUAGAAAAAACAAAGUCCUUAUAUAUUAAUAUUCUUCUACUUAUUAAAAUAUACUAUUCUACUCAUUCUAUUUAUUUCAUAUAAAUGUUUUAUUUAUCCUUUUAUAUUACAGCUACCAUUAUCAAUACUUUAUAUUACCUUUUAUUCAUUGAGUAUCAUUAUGAACUUAGAAUCUUUUUCGGGUUUAAUAUAUUCCAGUUAACUACAAUAAAACUGUUAUUUGAAGUUCAGAUUUCAAAUGUGUGAGCCCCUGACAUCCUCCUUUGUGUUGACGUUCUUAAAAGCAUUAUUGCUUUCUAGUAUCAACAAGUUAUUAUAGACCCUCCUGAUCUCUUCCUGCCAUAAGACAUACUCAUAACAUCCUUCCAAGGAACCAAUUCUUUUUCCUCAUUGCAGGGAAUUAUGUUAGAGACCAAAGUCUGGAUAUUAGAGAAGCACAAAAGAGUGGAUGGAGGGCAAAACCACAGCUACUAAAGGUGUUGUUGGACUGCUUUUAGUAGAGAGCUGGAAAUAUCUAUACAAAUUCGCAUUAAUAUUUCUUAUUUAACUUGUCACAUUCCCAUACCCUGCAUUUUUUUAAACAAAACAAAAUAGUUUUGUAUGUGAUUUCACUGACUAUUUGGAUUUUCUCCUGUUUAACAUUCCUAGCAUUCUGGAAGGGUAAGAUAAAGGAUGAGUGAUGAAGCCUGAAUGUGAUGAAGCACUAGUUGGUGAUGGUUUUGGGGAAGAGAUGUGAUUAUGUUGAAUGUAAAGAUGGUAUAAGAGUCAAUUGUUUAUUCAAUUAAGCCUAUUAAGUGCCAGGCCUUAUACUAAAUGUUGAUGAUGAUGUCUCUACACUGUGUAGUCUAUAAUCUCGCAGUGGAGGCAUUCAUGCGACAAAUAAUUUUACAUAUAACUGAAAUGACAACUUCAAAUGAAACAGGUGAUCUGAAAAUGUAUUAUAGGAAGAGAUUAACCUAGUUUGGGGUAUUAGAGUUUAGAUAGACGGGAGCAAGGAAAAGGCACUUGAUAGAUGGGUGUAAAGAACAGUGAACUAUGUUCAGAAGAACUUACUGUAUUUGGAGAUUAUACAAUGCUGACACAGAUAGGAAAUGAAAUUGUAGCUACUGAAGAUUUAUGGUUUUCAAAGAAAUAAUGUAUUUUUAUUCCAAAUCUUUGCGAAUUAAAAAAAGGAUCAAUGGAGUUCCUCUUGUGGAAAUGAAUCCAUGAGGAUGUGAUUUGAUCCAUGAGGAUGUGAUUUGAUCCAUGAGGAUGUGGGUUCAGUCCCUGCCUCGAUUAGUGGGCCAGGGAUCCGGCAUUGCCAUUAGCUGUGGUGUAGGUUGUGGACAUGGCUAGGAUCCCACAUUGCUGUGGCUGUAGCAUACGCUAGCAGCUAUAGCUCCAAUUUGAUGCCUAGCCUGGGAACUUCCAUAUGCUGCAGAUGUGGCCCCUAAAAAACAAACAAACAAACAAACAGGAUCACAGUUUAUAGACUGUGUUAGACUAAGAAUACAAAAGAGUUGAGGGAUGUUUUACCGGCUCAUAAUGUCAAUGUUUUUCAGCAAAUAUGCACUGACAUUGUUUAACACAAAUUCCCCCGAAAGGUGUAUGAUUGCCUCUGAGAGGGUCAUUAUAUACUUGGGUCAUUAGCAGUUUAAUAUUAUUUCUCAAAAUAAUUAUACCCCCGGUCAAGUGAAUAGAGCUAGACAAUUUUAAGGGUUUUAAAAUCUAGACUUAAUUUUAUACACAUAAGGAAAACUGACUUAGCAAGGUUGAGGAAUUGUCCAUGAUCAGAUUGUUAUAUAGAGCUGCAUGGAUAGAAUAUUUUCAUUUUCUUUGCAAAGUUCAGGGCUUUUUCCCAGCUCCUUCCCUUCUUUGACUCUUGUUUUAGAAACCUGUGCCCAUGUAACACUUGCAGUGUUAGAAUUAUUCCUGAGAACAUUCUGGAAUGGGUGAUGGUGGGCUGUGAGAGCAGUGGGAACAGGUUUUGAGCCUUUUCCCACAAAUAUCUGAAAUUUAAAUAUAUGGCAUUGAUUUUGAGGUGACAAAAUAUUCAAAAUAAUAAAGUUUUAUCUGUGGGGCCACUAAGAUGAUUUCCCUAUCUUGUUAUCAGGGCACCAUAAAACAUAAUAUUUUAAUAUCUUUAAUGUCUUGUUUAAUUUCCCUUGUGCAUGUUAGUUGGUAUGAAUCAUUACAUUAUUGAGUCUUUGGGGCAAGUGUCUCUAUCUUCUAUAAUUUUGAUGACUGUCUCCAGUGUCUGGUCAUCUGAAAAUUAAGCAAUAGAUAAGAACAUUUGCAUAAUAAGAGCAUCGGUCAAUCUUAUUACUGGUAGACAUUUCAGAGGAAGUAAUCAAAAAAUUUCCCAACAUCGUCUUAUCAGGUUUUUCUGCCUGAAUCAUUAUAGAAGGCAGAUAACUUAGAAGUGGGGGAGUCUGGGGAAAUGUUCUUAUUGAAACACGGAAGUGCUUCCUUAACUCCUCUACCAGUAUGGAGUAAAGGAAGAAUCUAGUUUGCUCAAUUUUUUUCUAAGAAAAAGUAAUAUUUUUUGAUUGGAUAUGCUCCAAGAAAAUAAACUCAAGUCAUUUAAUGAAUAGUUAUAUCUUAAUAUGUAUUCAGUUUAUACCUUUGAUAGAUAUUGCAAUCAGUAGCUCUUAGCACUUGCCAAAUUAUUAGUGUGUUCCCAGCCCUUGUGAUGGAGAUAAAACAUUCAAAGCACAAACCUGGCAGCUUAUUGGAAGUAAAGCCUAGAGAUAUGAAUUCAUAGAGGUAUAAAUUGGUUUAGUUUCAGUUAAAAAAAAAUAGAUGGCCCAAAUGUAUAAUGGUGCAAUAAAACAGAACUUUAUGACUCAUUUAUGAAAGAGUUUGAGAUGGGUGUUCUUGGUUGGCAGAUGGGUUUCCUAUACAUAGUAAAUCAGGGAUCUUUCCCUCUUAGAGGCUCUGCCAUCCCCUCAGGGCAUCACCACAUCCAGCUGGUAAAAGGAGGAGCGGAGAUGGUAGGGACAUACCCUCCUUUUAAAAGUCUUAGCUCUUAGGUUCCAGUCCAUGUAGUUAACACUUAAUCAUACCCUGUAAACUUAUGCCCUGGUUACAGCCAUUGGCAGGACUGAUAUUCAUCUCAUAUGUAACUGGCGUGGCCACACAAAUUAUAGUCUUAGAGACUGCUCAUUGUAAAGCACAUCCCAUUUUUAGAGAUGUUAAAAUGUAGAAUUCAUUCUAGUUAACAAAUGCAAGGGAAAAUGUCACAGGAAAAAUGUUUUCUGGUACUCUGAUCACAAGAUGAGGGAAUCACCUUGGGGGCCCCACCAAUAAACAAUUUUUAAAAAUAUUUUUUGACAUCAAAAAGCAAUGACAUGGGAAGUUUCCUUCAUGGCUCAGCCGUUAACGAACCUGACUAGGAUCCGAGAGGAUGUGGAUUCAAUCCCUGGCCUCGCUCAGUGGGUUAAGGAUCCAGCAUUGCCGUGAGCUGUGGUGUAGGUCACAGACAAGGCUUGGAUCUGACGUUGCUGUGGCUGUGGUGUAGGCUGGCAGCUGUAGCUCUGAUUCAACCCUUUGCCUGGGAACAUCCAUAGCCACAGGUGUGGCCCUAAAAAG